RNAcentral lists this long non-coding RNA (1872 nucleotides) under Daucus carota (carrot). RNAcentral's name for it is "long non-coding RNA (DCAR_LNC003632)". The record is from RNAcentral. Lineage: Eukaryota; Viridiplantae; Streptophyta; Magnoliopsida; Apiales; Apiaceae.
CUGAACCAAAGCAACAGCCACAAGAAGAAAACAGAGGCAAUUAGCAAGAGAUAUAGGGGAGAGCCCAGAAGCGAAAAGGCGCCGCAUAAGGUGAUGACGAUGGCGUAAUUGAUGCCGAAGUACUUGGAGUUGAGACGGAGGCGUGACGUGGCGCCGGCGAGGGAGUCGGGACGGGAGCAUUCGGAGGCGGAGGCGAGGAAUUCCGGCCAGGGACGUUGGCGGGAGUAAGUGGUGGAGAGGUUCUGGAAGGAUCGGGAAAUGGCGGCGGAGAAGGAGACGGGGAUGGUGGUGUACGUGGAGUCGGAUGAUGCUCGCUGGGGAGGCAGCAUUUUGCGUUGACUUUAUUUGACCACAACUGCAAGCAACUAAACUAGAGUAUCUACGAUGAAGUUAUAACCGAGUUAAGUAUAAUCGUUCGCUAAUUAGUAUCGGUAAUAUAUUAGAUAAAAUUUAUUGAACUGUAAAAGCAUCUCCGGCCAUCGAAAACAAUUAACUAAAAGGUGAGUUGACAUACUAAAAAUAAAAAAAUUUAAUCUAACAGCUCGAAAAACUCAACUUCAAUCAUACUCAGCUGUUGUCUAUAAUUUUAGUCAAUCUCCUAUGGAUGACAAAAUUUGUCGAAUCUCUACAAGUCAGUAAAAAAUCUGUAGGAAGAUUGCACAUCAUUUUUACCAUAUUGAACUAAUAUAUUCUAUUUUAACAAUAACGUUCUUCGUACGGAUUCCUCCAACAGUACUUGCUAUUUACCUUGCUUUCUUAUCAGAGUUGAGUUGAUACCUCUUUAAUUACAAAUAGGCUAAACAUGUGCCUUUCAUGUAUUAGCUACGCUUUAACUUCGGUCAUCUUUAUAAUUAAACUCGCUUUCAAACUUAGACCCUAUAUAUUCCGAUAAGAUGUUUAUAUACUAAUUGAUUUAAGAUCUCACUAUCGAAAUCAAUAAUUAAGAUAAUAAUUUUACUAUCUUAAUUUGUCGAGAUUUGUUAUUUGACAAUACAAAAAAUAAGUUAAAUUGUAGAAGGGGGCUGAAUAAAAUCUACAAAAAAUUUCAACUAAUUUUUGCUUAACAGAUUAUGUUCAAACACAAAAGAUAUUUAAAUCUAAACAGAAAUUAUAAGAACAAGGAUCUUAAAAUUUUAAGGUGGAUUGUUUGAUCCACCUGAGAGAUUUUUAAAUUAAGAACCUUCCAAGUAAAAUACUUGGAUGCUUACAAGAAGAAAAUGAAUAACAGAAGCUUACAAUAUUUUGCUUGCUAUCUCUACUGCUUUGCUCUUCAGUUCUAAGUGUAUGGAUACAUUGAAAUGAAAAUUACAAUGUGAAUAUAUACGAAUACAAAUUAGGGUAGUCUGCAAAAGUGUUUUCCAACACCUUUCUAACCAUUACAAAUGUAGAAUUUCUUGGACUUGAUAGUACAAAUGGCAGCUUGAAUUUCUUGUUGCUUUACUAUAAAUGGUAGGCUUCGAGGUUCUCAAUAUUUGACUAAACUGCUUUUGAUUUAGUUUCCAAAACUGGUGCAGCACCUUUCACAUCAACCCAUGUGUUUUUUGUUAUAUGGGGGAGAACCCAGAAGCGAAAAGGCGCCGCAUAAGGUGAUGACGAUGGCGUAAUUGAUGCCGAAGUACUUGGAGUUGAGACGGAGGCGUGACGUGGCGCCGGCGAGGGAGUCGGGACGGGAGCAUUCGGAGGCGGAGGCGAGGAAUUCCGGCCAGGGACGUUGGCGGGAGUAAGUGGUGGAGAGGUUCUGGAAGGAUCGGGAAAUGGCGGCGGAGAAGGAGACGGGGAUGGUGGUGUACGUGGAGUCGGAUGAUGCUCGCUGGGGAGGCAGCAUUUUGCGUUGACUUUAUUUGACCACAACUGCAAGCAACUAAACUAGAG